Molecule: long non-coding RNA, 2478 nt
Organism: Petromyzon marinus (sea lamprey)
Lineage: Eukaryota; Metazoa; Chordata; Hyperoartia; Petromyzontiformes; Petromyzontidae
Source: RefSeq, a predicted model, not a curated record
AAGUUCGCAACGCAGCGCGCUAACCGCUACACUACCGCUCCCCACAUCAUCACCAACAACACCAACAUUGUGAAUGUGCAAUGGGGAAUGGUCAGCCGAUCAACGUGGGCAGCUUUCUCCGCCUCCUCGUCCCCACGCCGAGUCCACCUCUCGCUGCCGCACGCGAGCGCAUCCCUUCGCUCACAGCACGCGCACUCUCUUUAUAUAGAGAGUUGCUGUACAUAGCGCGGUGCUGUGCGUAGCGCGGUGCUGUGCGUAGCUCGGUGCUGUGCGUAGCUCGGUGCUGUGCGUAGUGCGACGCUGUGCGUAGCGCGGCGCUGUGCGGAGCACAGUACUGUAGCGUAGAACAGUGCUGUUGUACGCCAAAGUCCAUGACGGAUGCGGUGAGUGCGUGGCUGCUGUCGUGGACGCGCUGGGUGGACGCCUCCGCCACGCCGAGUGUGGUACUCGCAGCUGCCGGGACCCCAGUGCCACCCACGUGGCGCGGGAUGUGGAGCCCCACCUGAGGCACUGACUCGAGACCCGACGAAGGAGCAGCGCCCCCCCCCCCUCCAUCCUGGUUUCUCUGCUACCCCGACCGCAGUGGAGACCGCUCUCAACCGCAUCCCAACAACCACAACAGCAGCACCACCACUGGGCAGGAGGAGCUUCCGGCUGGCUGGUGGAGGUGGAGGAGGCUUCUGUGGGUACGACGACGACCCAGCCCCGCGGUCCGCUACCAACGGGGCCGUGCCCCCCUCCCCGCGCCCCCGCCUGCUCCCCAGAACGUGACUCACAACAACGAGGGCCCAAGCAGGGCCCCCCUCAUCCCACCCCCGCCCCAUAACCUCCGCGGCGCCCCCUCUUUCUGUGCUCGGCGCUUCGACGUGAGAAAUAAUAAGACUCAUUAGCGCCGCUCUCCUUUGUCGAGGGACCUCCUCUCAACUUGUUUGCCAUCUUGCAGGAUUCGCUGUUUGUGUGUUCGUGUGAGAGAGAGAGAGAGCGGGGUGGUAGAAAAUGCGGGGUGGGGGUUGAAGUGAGAGAGAGAAGAGAGAGGGAGAAGCGGGCAGCAUUAUGAGGCCGUGUCCGUGCCGGCCGCCAGCUCGGAGGGCUUAGCGCCAGCACGGCGAGCGAGAGAAAGACAGCCUUUUCAUUUUGCGUGAUGAGUGCUGAAGGGAAGAAGAGGAGGAGGAGCGAGCCCGAGCUGUGAGGAGGUGGGUAACGUCACUGGCGCCUUCUCAUCCGCGCCCUGCGGAAAUCUCCACAGUUUCUCGCCGUGAGUGCGCAAUAACUCGUCGGAUCUCGUAAGCCAAGCGGGAUUGAGCCUGUUUGGCUCUAGGAAGAUGGAUCUCCGUCACUGCUGACCCGUCCUUGGAGACCUGCAGAUGGAGGUGGAGCCGAUUCUUCACUCCUGAUGACCCAACAUCUUCUGCACUUACAGAUUUCUGCAGAUGGAGGUGAUCCCAGGUCUCCGUUCCCGCCGACCCCGUCCUCCGCACGUGGAGAUUCCCGAAGAUGGAGGUGGAUGCUGAUUGCACUGCCAACCGCUCUCCGAUGCCUCUCCCCUGGUCCAUACCUCAUUUCCCGCCCCGAUCCACGAAUUUUGCAUGCUGCCCACACUUCCCUGAUCCCACAGAACCACACAGAGGUUCCGGUCACUUGCCCGUGGCAUUUGUGGCACGCCAUGUGCAGUGCCGAAGAUCUAAGUGCGUGUCCUGGGAUAAACUCUUGCAGUGCAGUCCAGAGGAAGGGACAUCGCGGUUUCCAGCAAUCGUAUCUCUUAUUUCUCCUCUUUGUUAGUUUGUUUUAAUGAUGUGAAUUAACUGUAUUUUUGUCUACAGUUGUUAGCUCCAUUAACCUUGAAGAUAAUUUGCAUAAUCACCAAUUCUCACUCACACGGAUCGAUGUUCGGCUUGAGACAAAAACGCGUCCAUGUCUUCGUGAUGUGUUCAGUACAAAGACAGAGUCCCGUAGAGUUGUUCACAGAUUGAUGGACCCCACAGCAGCAAAACUCGGCAAGACCCUCCUGAAAAAGAGUCACGAGACUCAGUGAGGCGUUCCUGGGGAAAGUAGCAACAUUAAUACAAUCAUAAUCUUUAUGUAUCCUGGAGGAAUCUGAUGAGCUAUGAAGCUCAGAUGACCAAUACAAUAAACACAAUCGUCACUCAGACAGGAAUCAUCUUGCAACGGGGCCACCUGUGUCCGUCUGCCUCCACUUUCCUGUCCGUCUGUUCUACCGCGCCUCAGUCUGAGACAUUCAUUUCCUGUCUGUGACAUCACUAUCCUCUGUGAAGCAGCAUAUAUUUCGCGUAAAUAUAUAUUUUUAGAAUAAUGAUUUGAUGCAUGUCUCCUGAGUGUAAGAUCAGCAGCAGCAGAAGCAUGAAACCAUUACCAUCACCACCACUAUCAUCACUAAAUAAAAAUAUUCCCCCUAUAAGCUUUACAGACUAUUGGGGCAAGUGCUGUUAGCGAGCACCUAUGACGAUCGGAACGGCACAC